CUGAAAACUAAUGUUCGCUGCAUUUGCUUUCUCAUUCACUCUUUUGCCAUGAUAAUAAAAAUGGAGUAAAAACAAGGGGGUAAACUAGAUUGUGCAGCUGCUGUGGAAAUUUCAGUUAGAAUUUGGUUUACACAAAAUAUGAUGUUGCUUUUGAAGCAGAAUUCUGGCAUGUGAGGCAGUGCAUCUGUAUGACAUUCAUUAUGCUUCAAAAGCGUACGUUUGUAUGUAGUCUCAUCAAAGACAUGCAUGUUUUGUAGCUGCUCCACAUGCCCACAUUUGAACGUGGUGCAAAGAGCUCAACAUCACAGAUAGGUGUGCAGUGGUUCAAAGAGGAGACCCCAAACACAACACACCAGAGGGAGAUUAAAUACAAAAUCAAAAACUUUAUUGGCCAAAGGCACAAUCAAACACAGUCGGCGAGGCAAACGUGGCAGCCAAAGAGGCAAAAACCAGAAACUGUCCAAAAGUCCAGAUUAGCAAAACGCAUCAAAAAGUUAUCGUCAGAAGAGAGUGAGGAACAAAGUGAGGGUAUAAACUAGGAAAAUAACAAGGACUCAAACUGAGUUAGUGACUGGAUAACUUGAUUGCAACAAGUUUGAUUUCCAGAGACAACUGACAGAGAUACAUAAUGAACAGUAAAAGGCAAAUAAACUGAAAAUACUGACUGACUAAUAAAAAAAGAAAAGAAAAAAUGGUGGAAAAGGCAGAAAGAUGAGAAUAAAAAACAAACAGUAUAUAGAGGUAUUAGAAAAAGUGCAGGGUUGUGUGGUAGCAUUAACAUAUGGGCCAAAACAUGUUACUAUAUCUAUAUCUGCAUUCAUUACUUAUAGAAGAAGAAGGUGUAGCUGGUGAAUCCAUUUCUCUGAGCAUUUCUCUGAGCUCUGUAAACCCCACAGUUUAAUGAGAAGUGAAGACGAGCCAUCGGAGGUACAACCAUAAACUCUGCCCCCACAAACAUCUGGAACAUUCAACUGGAAACUUGGAAACUGGAAACCAGGUCAGUGUGACACAAAACCGGUUUUCUUCACAGGUUUAAGGUCUGCAGUGAUGAAGAAGAGUAAAGAACAGUCUUCAAGCAGCACUGGGAACAGUCUAGAGGUGCGAGAGAAGAUGAUCUUAAAAGGGAAACACCGAGCAACAUUGGACAAGUUGAAAUCAGGGAGGUUUUGAGUCUUUCAGAACCUUAUGAUGACACCGUUUAUGGAUAUUUAAUACCAGUCCAUCCAUGUGUGCAAGAAGCCAAUGGGAAGUCAGCCAGACUUGGUCAUGCAUGGGCUUGAGCUUUACG
Astatotilapia calliptera (eastern happy) is the source of this 1288-nucleotide long non-coding RNA. The record is from Ensembl. NCBI's taxonomy places the organism in Eukaryota, Metazoa, Chordata, Actinopteri, Cichliformes, Cichlidae.